GACGAACGCUGGCGGCGUGCUUAACACAUGCAAGUCGAACGGAAAGGCCCUGCUUUUGUGGGGUGCUCGAGUGGCGAACGGGUGAGUAACACGUGAGUAACCUGCCCUUGACUUUGGGAUAACUUCAGGAAACUGGGGCUAAUACCGGAUAGGAGCUCCUGCUGCAUGGUGGGGGUUGGAAAGUUUCGGCGGUUGGGGAUGGACUCGCGGCUUAUCAGCUUGUUGGUGGGGUAGUGGCUUACCAAGGCUUUGACGGGUAGCCGGCCUGAGGGGGUGACCGGCCACAUUGGGACUGAGAUACGGCCCAGACUCCUACGGGAGGCAGCAGUGGGGAAUAUUGCACAAUGGGCGGAAGCCUGAUGCAGCAACGCCGCGUGCGGGAUGACGGCCUUCGGGUUGUAAACCGCUUUCGCCUGUGACGAAGCGUGAGUGACGGUAAUGGGUAAAGAGGCACCGGCUAACUACGUG
This 468-nucleotide ribosomal RNA is filed under the name uncultured bacterium. Its description in RNAcentral is "partial 16S ribosomal RNA". It matches the Rfam family "Bacterial small subunit ribosomal RNA", at positions 28 to 507 of the family's 1533-position model. The record is from RNAcentral.